Molecule: ribosomal RNA, 813 nt
Filed under: uncultured bacterium
Lineage: Bacteria
Description: bacterial SSU rRNA
Rfam family: Bacterial small subunit ribosomal RNA
Source: RNAcentral
UGCAAGUCGGGCGGUAGCACAGAGAGCUUGCUCUCGGGUGACGAGCGGCGGACGGGUGAGUAAUGUCUGGGAAACUGCCUGAUGGAGGGGGAUAACUACUGGAAACGGUAGCUAAUACCGCAUAAUGUCGCAAGACCAAAGUGGGGGACCUUCGGGCCUCAUGCCAUCAGAUGUGCCCAGAUGGGAUUAGCUAGUAGGUGGGGUAAUGGCUCACCUAGGCGACGAUCCCUAGCUGGUCUGAGAGGAUGACCAGCCACACUGGAACUGAGACACGGUCCAGACUCCUACGGGAGGCAGCAGUGGGGAAUAUUGCACAAUGGGCGCAAGCCUGAUGCAGCCAUGCCGCGUGUAUGAAGAAGGCCUUCGGGUUGUAAAGUACUUUCAGCGAGGAGGAAGGCAUUAAGGUUAAUAACCUUAGUGAUUGACGUUACUCGCAGAAGAAGCACCGGCUAACUCCGUGCCAGCAGCCGCGGUAAUACGGAGGGUGCAAGCGUUAAUCGGAAUUACUGGGCGUAAAGCGCACGCAGGCGGUCUGUUAAGUCAGAUGUGAAAUCCCCGGGCUCAACCUGGGAACUGCAUUUGAAACUGGCAGGCUUGAGUCUUGUAGAGGGGGGUAGAAUUCCAGGUGUAGCGGUGAAAUGCGUAGAGAUCUGGAGGAAUACCGGUGGCGAAGGCGGCCCCCUGGACAAAGACUGACGCUCAGGUGCGAAAGCGUGGGGGAGCAAACAGGAUUAGAUACCCUGGUAGUCCACGCUGUAAACGAUGUCGACUUGGAGGUUGUUCCCUUGAGGAGUGGCUUCCGGAGCUAACGCG